This 111-nucleotide microRNA precursor is filed under the name Xyrichtys novacula (pearly razorfish). The record is from RNAcentral. Lineage: Eukaryota; Metazoa; Chordata; Actinopteri; Labriformes; Labridae.
UUUUUAUGUUAUAGUUAUGUUACUUCUGUACAUCAUCCAGUGUUUAUUGUAUCCUAAAUUUACAAUAAACACUGGAUGGUGUACAGAAGUAACAUAACUAUGACAUGACAU